This 400-nucleotide transfer-messenger RNA is filed under the name pig gut metagenome. It matches the Rfam family "transfer-messenger RNA". Rfam says of the family: Bacterial tmRNA, also known as 10Sa RNA or SsrA, is named for its dual tRNA and mRNA-like properties. Its role is to liberate the mRNA from a stalled ribosome. To accomplish this part of the tmRNA is used as a reading frame that ends in a translation stop signal. The record is from RNAcentral.
GGGGUUGACCGGUUUUGACAGCUUGUAGAAUGGUUAUGUAAGCAUACCGAGCCUUGCAGCGACGCUCGUUAAUACUAACUGCAAAAAAUUAAUUGGCGAAAAUAAUUACGCUUUCGCUGCUUAGUUGAAGAACAGUAAACUAAAGCUUAAUCCUUUCACAAGGUGAGGGGACGAAACAUCUCGCGGAUGGAGAUUCCCGAUUCCGGUCCGGUAACGAGGUGCUCAUCAACUUCGGGAUAGCAUCGCAGUAGCUCCGACAACGUUGCGAAACCUUAGGAGAUAAGGUGCGGCUUAGGGUGUCCGUCCCCUUGCCGCGCUCGAAAACCAAUGACGGAAUAAGUAUGUAGAAAGCAUAGUUGUUCCAAGUUUGGACGAGGGUUCGACUCCCUCCAGCUCCACC